GAUGAACGCUAGCGGCAGGCCUAACACAUGCAAGUCGAGGGGUAUGGGGUGCUUGCACCCCUGAGACCGGCGCACGGGUGCGGAACGCGUAUGGAACCUGCCCCUGUCAGGGGAAUAGCCCAGGGAAACUUGGAUUAAUGCCCCAUGGUAUCAUUACAUCGCAUGAUGUUAUGAUUAAAGAUUUAUCGGACAGGGAUGGCCAUGCGUACCAUUAGCUUGAUGGUGGGGUAACGGCCCACCAUGGCAACGAUGGUUAGGGGCCCU
RNAcentral lists this ribosomal RNA (264 nucleotides) under uncultured bacterium. RNAcentral describes it as "partial 16S ribosomal RNA". It matches the Rfam family "Bacterial small subunit ribosomal RNA", at positions 28 to 293 of the family's 1533-position model. The record is from RNAcentral.